UCCCUACGGGAGGCAGCAGUGAGGAAUAUUGGUCAAUGGGCCUACGCCUGAACCAGCCAAAUCGCGUGAGGGAAGACUGCCCUAUGGGUUGUAAACCUCUUUUGUCAGGGAGCAAUUGGCGCUACGUGUAGCGUUAUCGAGAGUACCUGAAGAAAAAGCAUCGGCUAACUCCGUGCCAGCAGCCGCGGUAAUACGGAGGAUGCGAGCGUUAUCCGGAUUUAUUGGGUUUAAAGGGUGCGUAGGCGGAAGGUUAAGUCAGCGGUCAAAUGUCGGUGCUCAACACCGGCCUGCCGUUGAAACUGGUC
Molecule: ribosomal RNA, 305 nt
Filed under: uncultured bacterium
Lineage: Bacteria
Description: bacterial SSU rRNA
Rfam family: Bacterial small subunit ribosomal RNA
Source: RNAcentral